AACACUAAUCAUAAUUGUCAAACUGAAAAUCGUUUCUGUUUGCAUGCGAUGGAUAUAUAGAUAUUUGUGUGUAAUUUGUAUUAAGAUCAUAUAAUCGUAAUUCAUUUUAUAAGAAUUAUAUAUUAUCUCGUAAAUUCAAAGAGAAACAAGCAAAAAUGGGGCGACGUUCCAUCAAUACCACUAAAAGUGGUAAAUAUAUGAAUCCAACUGAUCAAGCAAGGAAAGAGGCGAGAAAAAAAGAACUAAAGAAAAAUAAAAGACAGCGGCAAAUGGUUAGGGCAGCAGUGCUUAAAAUGAAA
Manduca sexta (tobacco hornworm) is the source of this 299-nucleotide long non-coding RNA. RefSeq lists it as uncharacterized. The transcript is spliced from 2 exons. The record is from RefSeq and is a predicted model, not a curated record. Lineage: Eukaryota; Metazoa; Arthropoda; Insecta; Lepidoptera; Sphingidae.